Molecule: long non-coding RNA, 6443 nt
Filed under: Orbicella faveolata
Lineage: Eukaryota; Metazoa; Cnidaria; Anthozoa; Scleractinia; Merulinidae
Description: uncharacterized LOC110053346
Source: RNAcentral
AGCAUUAGCGACGAGAUAACUACGAACGAACUGUUUCAUUGACAGAAGCAAUCAUUUCGCUUUGCAUUACUGAAAAGACAUGUCUAUCUUUAUUCCUCUUGUCAGCGGGUAGGCCGACUUUAUAAGGUUAAGAUACCGAAGCCGAUGUAGCCCAGUUUCCUGGCCGGGUCGCCAGCUGAUAAACGCAAAACCGAACGAAUCCCGUUAAUAACCAUGUAAUGAGUAGUGUUUACAUCUACUCCAUUUACCAUCUCAGAUGGCACCAAGGGUGGCCAUAAGAACCAAUGGAUACCUACACUUUUUUUAUUUUUUAUCUUCUUAAAGUUCAAGGUAAUUAAUCAUUUUUCGAUAAAAAAGUAAAUCACGGCUCCCCUCACUUCCGUUUGUUGAUUUCAUCACGCUAAAAAUAGUACCGGAUGGGUAAACAUAUCACAUCGUCAGGAUUUGUAGGACUUCAACUCGCGCAGAGAAACUAUUCGCUCAGCUCGCGCUUGUUCGUUGCUUUAUGCCACCAAAUUGGUGAGGAAAAAAUCGAGCGCGUUAUUCACUGGCCACAUUCGAACUUUUUCUUCUCUCUCCCAGUGAAGAUUUGUAUAUGUGUUUAAUUUCUUUUUCCGUGAAUCUCUUCAGUGCGCGACGUGCAUUUGCUAACUUGAUCACAAUCGCACAUGAUGAACUAAGCUUCUUAAUCUUCUUUGAAUUUAUUGCCCAACAAUGAUUCAUUAAGUUUCCAACGCAAAAGAGGUAUCGAGCCCUCUUAACACGUUAAAAAGAAGAAGUUCGAGGUACAACGUCACGAGCGAGAAGCGAGUUAACAAACAAGAGACCUUGCAAUAGAGACUGCACUUAACCCAAGCAUAAUGAUAGAUAUGCGGCAUCAAAUUUUGUUUUGCCGUUUAGUGUUUUGAGUGAGAAAGGGCAGUUUCUGUUAACCUUGUACGGCUUUGCCACCCAGCUGUAUCCGCCACUUGUUUUGCUAGACAUAACAUAACUUGUUAUUUUUAAACACUUCGCUUAUGACUCUUUCCUAAGGGAAACAACCAACAGUCGAUUGCCUUUCGUCUUUUUUUUUUCUGUUAAAUUUUAUAUAAAUGCAGAACUGUGGCUUAGAACCGCUCGAUGGGUAAGGAUUUCUGUUUCAUUAUUUCUGUCAUUUUUCAUAUAUUCGAUACUUUUUUUAAUAUUUAGUACAGCUUGAUGAUCAUUAAAUACCCUGCGCUGCCAAACGUAACGCGAAAGAAGUGAGUGAGAUACAGGCAAUAAAUAACUGGGAAGCGCCAGGGCCUGUUAAUAAGAGCAAACACAUUACUGUCAUUCUCUGUAAUUACAAACCCAUUGUUCUGUGCUUUAGCUAGUUACAUGAUUGAGCUUCUUAAGAGCGAAAGAGCAGAAAAAUAAUGCUAUUUGUUUAACUUGUUAUUGUAACUAAUACCAGGUAGGCGUCUAACAGGAUUUUUCUAAAUAUAUAAAAGAGCGAAGUGGCUUUCUGUUGCUGAGUCGCGAUUCUCUGCAGGGAUUUCGUAACCCCACGACCAAGCUCCGUUAAUCCGUCUAUCGACAUUUUCGCUCGCCCCGCCCAGACGCUUGCGGCGGUAUUGUCACCUUCACGCUUUGUUCGGGGUUCUUUCUCAUACGUGCUCUUAAGUUGAAAAGAGACAGGCUAAGAAAUGCCCAUUUGCUGCGUACAAGUCGCCUAAGCUGCGCUGACCUGUGCUUAACGGGUCGUGAAAAAUCCCACGAUUUCACGAAGCCACGCCCAUUGGCCCAAGAAAGACAUCACGAUUUUAUAGACAGUGUAUAGUCUUCGUUCUUGAACCUCACGGCAUGUACACGAAAUCGUCGGGGAUACCUUAACAAUAACAUAGACACAAAGAUGUUUCUUUGCUGCCACCACAGGGAACCUUUGUAAAGGCGAAACAAGUCGAUUUACAAUGAGUUUUCUCAAACCCGUGAAAUCAGCAUUUGACCUUUUUCUUGACACAGUGGUCUGGCAAGUCUAUAACAAAGUUUUCUUAAUUUGUUAACGGUAAUGGGAAAAAAGAAAUACUUGUCCCCUAUUUCUUUUUCGAUGGCUUAAAGGCCUAAAACCGAAAUAAGAGGCAUAGCUAUCCUGUGUCUUCUAAACGCUUUGAAAUGUGGUUAACGUGAAAAAUUGGGUUGCUGUAGGGAGCAAAAGAAAUCACAGUAGCAUUACAAAUGAACCGCGGGCAAAUGACCAUGCCUUCGUAAACGCGUAAGGGUCACGUCUGCAAAAGAUGAAUCAUUUAUCCCUCGCGAAUGCGAAUAUAUAGAUCUUGGGAGGUCUUUUCUCUAAAAGACAUAGAUAUAGGUCGAGGACUCGUAAUAUAUAUCGCUAUUUUGGCUGUCCUAGUGUAAUUUAGGCCUAGAAAUGUUUCUGUGAUUUACCGCACUUUGAUCUUACCGCUAUCACGUGUACAGACACGUGUCAAUCAGUGUUAGUGUUCUUCUACCUCUUCACUCCUGUCCAUAAACGAGCCGGGAAACAAGGAAAGUCCCUGGUAGCCAAGCUUUUGCUCGACACAGUCACUCAAGUAAACUGAAGCCUUAGCUUACAAUCCUAGUCUAGUUUCAAAUCUCAUGUCUCUUAUUGAUCCUCAGAGCAGACAUAAGAAUUAUCUUUGUCAAAACUGAGUUAUCAUUCUAGCCGUUCUAGGGAAAGUUAAGAAAGCGGCUGUCGGCCGGCACCACUGAAUAAUAACAAUAGGACUUAUGACCUAAAAUUAAUCUCUGUCUUCACCCAGAAAGUCCAUUAACAGGUUUUUUUUUGUCAUCGUCAAUGCUUUUGAAAGAAAAAGAGAUUUUCUUUCAUUUGUUGCGAUGUUAACACCCAAAUUCUGCUCAACACUUUGAAAACAAGACGAACUAAAGAGGAUCAAAUCGAUUAACAACUUCUUCUCUUCAUCAUCUGUGCUAUCAAAAGGAAGAGCGUUUUUUCAUUUGUUGUGAUGUGAGCGAACAAUUUGAAAAAGAAGACGCGUAGCAGAGGAUAAAACCAUGAUGUAGAACGAAGCAAUGGUGCAAAAUGAAGCAAAUAUUUGGAGUCCACAUACGUACACAUUUAUACACCUAUACUGACAAGAAACAGCGUGAAAAAGCAUACCUUUUGAUACACGGACACAAGCGAACAGCACGAGGCCCGCAAAACAGGUAACCACCUGUAUAGAUUUCGUUUCCAUCGCUGACCACUUAAAAAAAAAAGUCCACAAGCCACCGAGCAGAUUUGAGAUCGAGCGUAGGACGAGUAUAAAAAUGAACCGCUUACAGGGAUUUAGAAUUUAUAUAGCUGUCCAGGUCCGCUUGAUCUGACAAGCAGACAGGAAAUUACCGGGAAUUCGGAAAUGAUGACCACUUCCGAUUCCAACUGAUUUAGAGACGUCACGUCAAAACUUGUGAUCACAAGUCGUGCGAUAGAGUGAGUACAAGAGAGGAACAUCUUUUGCACUGUUGACAAAGCACUGAGGUCUCCAAUUAUAAACACGCAAGUAUGAAAUGUUUGAAAUCAAUAUUGACCGGGCGAUAAUAUUUAUGUCACUUUGCUGUCUUGUUUUUUUGUUAUUCUUUAAUUUCUUCUCGUAUCCAAUUUAUCAAUUCACGUCAUUUGUAAGAUUGUAACGAACCGAGGAAGCAAUGCCAAUCAAACAUAUUUUUAUAACUGAAAGGCUGGUGUGUAGAUACAUUAUAUAACAUGAAAUCACCACCCCAGAAAAAAUACCAAUGAACCAGGCAAACCAGGCAAAUACGUCAAGGCCUAGGUAAAAUUCGGCACAAAAUAUGAGUUUACAGACUCUUUACAGUGUUGUUGCUUGUCUUUGUGGUGAGUAUUUUUGCUACGGUUUGUGAAAUUUCAAGUACGUGUGCAGUUUGGAUAGCGAGGUCAAUGUUUUGCUGAAUAAUCCUUGUAACGGUAAAUAAAGCCCAAAAAACUUGGCAUAAUAUGGCCCGAUACACAACAUAAUUUCCUUGACUAAGCCUAGGAACAGAUUAGCAGAUUUAGGUCAUUACUCAAUGGAAGGUUCUUUACUAUGAACAAUAAGCAACAUGUCUGCAAUUAGGAGAGAUUAAGAUUUUUAUCCAAAAAGAAAACUGAAAAAAAAACAUUGUAAUUUAUCACUCGAGGUCUUGUAAACAUUUAUGAAACAAAAUCCAUACAGAGCAAUGUGCGUUUGGGUCAAUUGAAAGGCGCCUUGGUGUCACACUGAAAAUUGAAGCUAUGUUUGUCUACGCCUUCUCACUGUUUUACUAGCAAAGAGACAGACAGAUGGAGAGGAGAGAAUGAUCUCGAACGUGAUCCACACUACGGCUAUUAUAUGUCAUACAGGAGAAGAAGAAACAAUGUGAAAUGACAAAUUUUACUACCAUUACUAUUAUCAUUAAUUUUGCAAGCUGACAAAGAUCAGCGCGCUCACGUAAACUUCAACUUAAAAUAAAAAUCAAUUUACAGCCUGCUAAAAGGGCACUUGAGUUAGUCUAGAUUACGUAAGAUAUGAAGAUUUUUUUUAAAACAUUCGUGCGGCCAACGAUGAACAAAUUACUAAAGCAACUAGCAACGAACAUGAAAAAAAAAAAAAAAAAAAUGAAAAAAAUUGAUCUUUCGUCAUCUAAUAUUAUAUCGGGUAAAUUCCUGAACGUGGGUAAUAGUUUUCCAAGCACGCGCUUAAUGCAACUCAUCACUUUCACAGUAUCACGCCAUUAAAAAGCCGCCUUAAUCGGACAAAAGCAGAGAGGUUUUAUGUAAACCCUGGAAGCUCUAUCUAACUGUCACUGAAGAGAAACUAACAAGAUUCAGAGAUAGAACGUCUUUCACAAGCUGAGUGAAGUUGAUCACUAUAUGAAAGUACUGAGUCAAGCUCUAAAAUCCUUGCAUCGCAACCCAGAAGGUCACAGAUCUAACAGUCAAGGUCAUUUUGGAUGAUUUAGCAUGUUUGAAGUCUCGCCAAGUUUUCCGCCCUUAAUUAAAAAUCGUUUUCCGAAAGGAGGCCAAUUUAAGAAGGAAUCGCUCACGCUUUGUGUCUUUUCGCUCUCUGUUGUAGAGUGAAAUAACUUCCGCUCUCCUCAAAUACCUGUUAACACAUCACGUCCUGCUUCAGUAUGGAGGUUUGGUCGACAUGACUGCGUCAAAGAAGGUCGAUUGUAUCCGAUCACGCUCCCUUUACACCUAUGCCGAUCAGCAACCGGCUAGCAGGAGCACUGACUUCCCCGGCAGUCUUCUCCUUCGCUUUCUUUCGAUCUCUCCGUUUUAAAGGUUGCGCUGUCAUGGUAUAGCAUCUGAUCGUUUGGGGAGGGGGGACUACCUUAAAUGAGCUAGUUAAGUAUGUGUGCUAUGUACUACUGCAUAGGGCAUAGUUUUUGAGCGGUUUUGGCCUAAAUAAGGGUAUAAAUUUUAACCAUUCUGCUCUGAAAUAGGGCAUGUUUUUCACUCAGCCUUGGCAUGGGUAUUUUGAAUUUUCUAGCCGCAUUGACAUUGGCAAAUUUUUAGCCCUUCUCUAAUGUUUACCUAAAUGGAAGCCAUUUCUGGUUAGCUGAAAUCAUAUAUAUAAGAGCCGUGUACUGAUUUUGAAGUUCUGAAAUGGGGUAUUGAUUUUCGCUCAGCUCAGAAAUAGAGUAUGGAAAAUCACAGAUUUUGGUCUGUAAUAGGGUACAGGUUUCGCACACCCAACCAAAAUCUUCGGAGGGUAUCCCUUUUCCUCCUCCACCGGAGCAUCUACAGGGUAGGGACCAUCAACUUCAUAUCAGUAUUUGGGAGUGAUGAUAUAUUAGAGAUAUUAAUUAGCUUGGGAAACUUCCUGUUGGCAGACUGACAAGUAUUCAUUCGAUGUAUUUCCUAACUUGCUUGCUUACAUUUAUAUAGCUUUAUAUGGGAAUUCUCUCACUGAGUAUUGUUAAUUAUAGGAAUUACGAGUACCAUCGUCAUUCGUGUCAAAAUGGAUGUGUGGUUAGUUGUUGUUACGACUCGAUACAUAAAAUACGCCUAUGUUGAAGUUGUCUGCUUGGAGGCCCGGUCAUUUCCCCUACGCAGAAAGCAGCCUUCGCUAGAAGAAAAUCGGAUUUCUGCGACACGCAGACCCGGGCACUAAGAUGCGGCACGGAAUUCACAUGGUGCAAAGCAAGCAUAAAUAGAAGGGAGAUUUGCUUGCUUAGCAACUGGAAGGUUUAUCCUUAAGGAUGGUUUUUGCGAAUUUAGGAGACGGGUGACGAGGUUGCUUUCCCUCCAGUGGUAUGCCUUUUUUGUUCUGCCUAAGCAACUAAGCCCUGAGUUUUGCUAUGUUGGACUACGAUACUGAUUAAGCUUCUGCAUGGAGAAUAUGUCGUCUUGGGAUAGGGUAUAGGGGUGUAUAGAAUAGUGUUGCAAAAUCAAGCUGAUCGUGGUCUAGUAUGGGGUAAAGGUUUCAGUGUCCCAGUGGAGCACCCCUACCCAAAGAUCU